CCAAUAGCGUAUAUUAAAGUUGUUGCAGUUAAAAAGCUCGUAGUUGAAUUUCGGGAUUGGCGCAUCGGUCGUGCCUCACGGGGUAUGAACUGGUGCAGUCAAUUUCUCACCUUCUGGAGAACCGCGAUGUCCUUAAUUGGAUGCCGCGGGGAACCAGGACCUUUACUUUGAAAAAAUUAGAGUGUUUAAAGCAGGCAUUUUUGCUUGAAUACAUUAGCAUGGAAUAAUAAAAUAGGACGGCAUGGUUCUAUUUUGUUGGUUUCUAGGACCACCGUAAUGAUUAAUAGGGAUAGUUGGGGGCAUUAGUAUUCAAUUGUCAGAGGUGAAAUUCUUGGAUUUAUUGAAGACUACCUACUGCGAAAGCAUUUGCCAAGGAUGUUUUCAUUAAUCAAGAACGAAAGUUAGGGGAUCGAAGACGAUCAGAUACCGUCGUAGUCUUAACCAUAAACUAUGCCGACUAGGAAUCAGACGAUGUUAAUUUUUUAAUGACUCGUUUGGCACCUUACG
RNAcentral lists this ribosomal RNA (507 nucleotides) under uncultured Glomeromycotina. Its description in RNAcentral is "partial small subunit ribosomal RNA". It matches the Rfam family "Eukaryotic small subunit ribosomal RNA", at positions 591 to 1092 of the family's 1831-position model. Lineage: Eukaryota; Fungi; Glomeromycota. The record is from RNAcentral.